RNAcentral lists this ribosomal RNA (891 nucleotides) under uncultured euryarchaeote. Its description in RNAcentral is "bacterial SSU rRNA". It matches the Rfam family "Archaeal small subunit ribosomal RNA", at positions 21 to 905 of the family's 1478-position model. The record is from RNAcentral. Lineage: Archaea; Methanobacteriati; Methanobacteriota.
GGUCACUGCUAUUGGGGUUCGGCUAAGCCAUGCGAGCGGAGGGCGCGGUCGCAAGAUCGUGGCCCCGCACACGGCUCAGUAACACGUAGUCAACCUACCCUUGGGACGGGGACAACGCCGGGAGACUGGCGAUAAUCCCCGAUAGGUGAGGGACGCUGGGAUGCUUCUUCGCUCAAAGCUCCGGCGCCCGAGGAUGGGACUGCGGCCUAUCAGGCUGUUGGUGGUGUGACGGACCACCAAACCUACGACGGGUACGGGCGAUGGGAGUCGGAGCCUGGAGAUGGGGACUGAGACAAGGCCCCAGGCCCUACGGGGCGCAGCAGGCGCGAAAACUCCGCAAUGCGCGCAAGCGUGACGGGGGAACCCCAAGUGCCGUUGGCUUUUGAUCGACGGCUUUUCGGAAGUCCAAUAAGCUUCCGGAAUAAGGGCUGGGCAAGACUGGUGCCAGCCGCCGCGGUAACACCAGCAGCCCAAGUGGUGGCCGCGAUAUUGGGCCUAAAGCGCUCGUAGCCGGAUCAGCAAGUCCUUUGUGAAAUCGGGCCGCCCAACGGUUCGGCGUGCAAAGGAUACUGUUGGUCUUGAGACCGGGAGAGGUCGGAGGUACUCUUGGGGUAGCGGUGAAAUGCUGUAAUCCUGGGGGGACCACCAGUGGCGAAGGCGUCCGACCAGAACGGAUCUGACGGUGAGGGGCGAAGGCUAGGGGAGCGAACGGGAUUAGAUACCCCGGUAGUCCUAGCUGUAAAGCAUGCGGGCCAGGUGUCUAGCGCUCCUUGAGGGCGCUAUGUGCCGGAGGGAAGCCGUUAAGCCCGCCGCCUGGGAAGUACGGCCGCAAGGCUGAAACUUAAAGAAAUUGGCGGGGGAGCACCACAAGGGGUGGAACCUGCAGGUUCA